RNAcentral lists this ribosomal RNA (330 nucleotides) under uncultured Bacteroidota bacterium. RNAcentral's name for it is "bacterial SSU rRNA". It matches the Rfam family "Bacterial small subunit ribosomal RNA", at positions 28 to 351 of the family's 1533-position model. The record is from RNAcentral. Lineage: Bacteria; Pseudomonadati; Bacteroidota.
GAUGAACGCUAGCGGCAGGCCUAAUACAUGCAAGUCGAACGGGAUCCAGGAAUAGCUUGCUAUUUCUGGUGAGAGUGGCGCACGGGUGCGUAACGCGUGAGCAACCUACCCAUAUCAGGGGUAUAGCCCGAAGAAAUUCGGAUUAACACCGCAUGACACAGCAUCUCUGCAUGGAGACACUGUUAAAUAUUUAUAGGAUAUGGAUGGGCUCGCGUGACAUUAGCUAGUUGGUAAGGUAACGGCUUACCAAGGCUACGAUGUCUAGGGGCUCUGAGAGGAGAAUCCCCCACACUGGUACUGAGACACGGACCAGACUCCUACGGGAGGCAG